AUACAGAGGGUGCGAGCGUUAAUCGGAAUUACUGGGCGUAAAGCGCGCGUAGGCGGCUUUGUAAGUCGGAUGUGAAAGCCCUGGGCUUAACCUGGGAAUGGCAUUCGAUACUGCAGAGCUAGAGUAUGGUAGAGGGAAGUGGAAUUUCCGGUGUAGCGGUGAAAUGCGUAGAUAUCGGAAGGAACACCAGUGGCGAAGGCGACUUCCUGGGCCAAUACUGACGCUGAGGAGCGAAAGCGUGGGGAGCAAACGGGAUUAGAAACCCCAGUAGUCC
Molecule: ribosomal RNA, 274 nt
Filed under: uncultured bacterium
Lineage: Bacteria
Description: partial 16S ribosomal RNA
Rfam family: Bacterial small subunit ribosomal RNA
Source: RNAcentral